UGUCUUGGUUGUCAGAAACUGUGAUGUGC
This 29-nucleotide non-coding RNA is filed under the name Mus musculus (house mouse). The record is from RNAcentral. Lineage: Eukaryota; Metazoa; Chordata; Mammalia; Rodentia; Muridae.